GCCACCAUCGUCUAGGGGUUAGGACAUUCGGUUCUCAACCGGAUAACGGGGGUUCGAGUCCCCCUGGUGGCA
RNAcentral lists this transfer RNA (72 nucleotides) under Candidatus Curtissbacteria bacterium. RNAcentral describes it as "tRNA-Glu". It matches the Rfam family "tRNA". Rfam says of the family: Transfer RNA (tRNA) molecules are approximately 80 nucleotides in length. The record is from RNAcentral. Lineage: Bacteria; Candidatus Curtissiibacteriota.